GGGCCCGUAGCUCAGUUCGGUUAGAGCGACCGGCUCAUAACCGGUCGGUCGCCAGUUCAAAUCUGGCCGGGCCCA
This 75-nucleotide transfer RNA is filed under the name Nitrososphaerota archaeon. RNAcentral's name for it is "tRNA-Ile". It matches the Rfam family "tRNA". Rfam says of the family: Transfer RNA (tRNA) molecules are approximately 80 nucleotides in length. Their secondary structure includes four short double-helical elements and three loops (D, anti-codon, and T loops). Lineage: Archaea; Thermoproteati; Nitrososphaerota. The record is from RNAcentral.